GGGGGCAACGGGAAGGGUGUUGAGUAAGAGUGUGGCCUGCAAUUCAACACUCUCAUUUUCAGCCUUGUUACAGUUGUGACAUAGUACUGAAUUCUGUCACUUGUCAUUUCACCAUUUAUAAAGCACUCCUAAAGUGCUGUAAACACUAUAAGACAGGUAAGAAUGCAGCCCCUGUCUUCAUGAGAGCUCUUUCAUUUUAAUUACAUUAAUACUUUUCUCAUUACAAAAAUGUAAGUGUUCACUGUAAAGUUUUGGGAAAGCACAGAAAGUUUGAAGAAGAAAGCAAUGAUCACUUUAUCCUACCUAUCAUACCUGGAGAUAACAACAACUCUUUUGGAUGUAUUACCUUCUAGUCCUUUAUUUUCCUUUUGCCUACUUUUUUUUUUUUUUUUUUACAAAAUCGGAAUUAUCUUGUGCAGUAUGUUCUGUAACCUAAUUGUAUGUCUGUAUAUUAUUCCAUUAUUUGUAUGUGUCAUGCUUUGCUUAACUAACUACUGCUGUAUGUCAAACUUUUACCAUUUUUUAUGACAGGCAAGACUACAUAUAACUUGAUCAAACUGUUUGGUAGCCAUUUGGUUAGACUGAGGCUUAUUCUUUAUUUAUUUAUUUUGUCUUUUUGCCAUUUCUUGGGCCGCUCCUGUGGCAUAUGGAGGUUCCCAGGCUAGGGGUCCAAUUGGAGCUGUAGCCACCGGCCUAUACCAGAGCCACAGCAACUCGGGAUCCGAGCCGCGUUUUCAACCUACACCACAGCUCACGGCAACGCCAGAUCGUUAACCCACUGAGCAAGGGCAGGGACCAAACCCGCAACCUCAUGGUUCCUAGUCGGAUUCGUUAACCACUGCGCCACGACGGGAACUCCCAGACUUACUCUUUAGAACUGACUCUGACAACAUGGAUUCUUAGUUAAUGUUUUAUACCAUUCUAAAGUACCCUAGAAUGAAGAAAAGGAAAUAUGUAUUUAGGGAGACUUUGGGGAAAUGCUAGGCUGUGAGCUCCUCAACAAUAGGGAACUCAUCUCUCUCUCCAACAUCUAGCAUAGUCCCUGAAAUAUUUAUUGGAUGAAUAAGGGGGCGGGUAAGAAGCCUCAAUGAACUCAAUCAUAGUAUAUUUCUGUAAUACAAGGUUUAAUAAGGAAAGAGAGAAGAAUGAAACAAGGGGGGAGCAAAGGCAGAGCUAAGGAAUCUUCAUCCUUAUCUCUAAAAAGAAAGAUGAGGGGAAUUCCCUGGUGGUCUGGUGGUUAAUAUUUGGCACCUUCACCACUGCGGCCCAGGUUCAGUCCCUAGUCUGGGAACUGAGAACGCAUGCCAUUGCCCCCCCCCCCCACCAAACAAAAUGAACACACAGGAAAAAAACCUGUGUGCCUUGAUUAUAACCAAUUAGUCAGUAAAUUAUUUACAUUAAAAACUCUACAAAUAGGAGUUCCUGUUGUGGCUCAGUGGUAAUGAACCUGACUAGUAUCCAUGAAGAUGUGAGUUCGAUCCCUGGCCUCACUCAGUGGGUUAGGGAUCCAGCCUUUCUGUGGAGCUGUGGUGUAAGUUGCAGACACAGCUUGGAUCCUGAGUUGCUGUGGCUGUGGUACAGGCCAGCAGCUACAGCUCCAAUUCGACCCUUAGCCUGGGAACUUCCAGAUGCCUCAGGUGCAGCCAUAAAAAGACAAAACAAAACAAAACACGAAACCCUGGAGUUCCCAUCUUGGCGCAGCAGAAAUGAAUCUGACUAGGAACCAUGAGGUUGAGGGUUCGAUCCCUGGCCUCGCUCAGUGAGUUAAGGAUCCGGGCUGCAGCAGUGAAAGCACAGAGUCCUAACCACUAGACCACUAGGGAACUCCCUGCAUUCUACUCUUUAGCACUCACUAUGACCUGUCCAAACAUCUCUCCCAACUUGGGAGGCAACAUAUCUAAUUUAAUCCAUAGAAGGUCAACUUCAUAGCUCAGUGGGUUAAGAACCCAACUAGUAUCCAUGAGGAUUCAGGUUCUGUCCCUGGCCUUGCUCAGCAGGUUAAAGGAUCUGGCAUUGCCACAAGCUGUGGUGCAGGUCACAGAUGUGGCUUGGAUCUGGCAUUGCUGUGGCUGAGGCACAGGCCGGCAGCUGCAGCUCUGAUUCAACUUCUAGCCUAGGAAUUUCCAUAUGCCGCAGGUGCAGCCCUAAAAAGCAAGAAAAAAAAAAAAAAAAAAGUAUACAACUUAAUGUGUUUUAGUGUAUUCACAGAUAUGUGCAACCAUUAAUUACUAUAGUUGAUUUUACAUUUUCUUCUUCAUUUUUAAAAGAAAUCUUGUGCCCAUUUGUUAUCUUCCCCCUUCUCCCUAUCUCCCAAGGCCUUAUAUAAGCACAAUUCUACUUUCUCCAUAGAUUCCCCUAUUCUGGAUAUUUCAUAUAAAUGAAAUCAUAUAAUAUAUGGUCUUUUGUGACUGGCUUUUUUCACUUAGCAUAAUGUUUUCAAGGUGCAUCCAUUUUGUAGCACCUUGCAUAAUAUAUCUACAUCUGGAUAUAUAUAUAUACCAGAUGUAGAUAUAUCAUAUUUGUUUAACCACUCAUCGGUUGAUGUCCCUUUUGGCUAUUAUGAAUGCUGCUGCUAUAAAAAUUUGUUUUUUUAUUUUUUAAAUUUUUAUUUAUUUACUUAUUUUAGGGCCGCAUCUGUGACAGGCUAAGUGUCAACACUGGAGCUGCAGCUACUGGCCUAUGCCACAGCCACAGCCACAGCCACAGCAACACAGUAUCCAAGCCCCAUCUGCAGCCUCUACCACAGCUCAUGGCAACACUGCAUUCUUAACCCACUGAGAGGAGCCAGGGAAUGAACCUGUGUCCCAGGGCUCCAGGUACGCUGAUGAUCCACUGGGCCACAGCGCAAACUUCUGUGUUCAGUUGUUUGAGAAGCUGUUAAAAUGUCUUCCAAAAGUAGCUGCACUAGUUUAUAUUCCCAAAACCAGAGUUCCAGUUUCUCUACAUCCUUGCUAACACUUGUUGUCUGAUUAAUCAAAGUCCAUUUAUUUAGAUCUUCCUGAAUUUCUUUCAACAAUGUUUUAUGUUUUCAUAGUAUGUUUUGCUCUUCUUUUGUUAAAUUUGUCCCUAAGCACUUUAUUCUUUUUCAUGUUAUUAUAAAUAGAAUUGUUUCUUUUUUUUUUCCUUGUCUUUUUGUCUUUUUUUUUAGGGUCACACCCCCGGCAUAUGGAUGUUCCCAGGCUAGGGGUCGAAUCAGAGCUACACCUGCCAGCCUGCGCCACAGCCGCAGUAACUCUGGAUCGCUAGCCGUGUCUGCAACCUACACCACAGCUCACGGCAAUGCCAGAUCCUUAACCCACUGAGGGAGGCCAGGGUCCCUAGUCAGAUUUGUUUCUGCUGCGCCACGACAGGAACUCCUAAAUAGAAUUGUUUCUUAAUUUCAUUUUCAAACUGCUCACUGCGAGUGUAUAGGAAUAUGAUUGACAUUUGUAAAUUGAUCUUGUAACCUGCAACCCUGCUGAACUUGUUCAUUCUAAUCAUUUUUGUAAUGGAUUCCUUAGGAUUUUCUAUAUAUAAGAUCAUGUCAUUUUUAAGUAGUAGUUUUACCUCUUCCUUUCGAUUUUGGAUAGCUUUCAUUUCUUUUUCUUGCCAAUUUCCGUGGCUAGAACCUCCAGUAUAAUGUUGAAUACAGGUGGUAUCCCCUUAUAGUUCUUGAGACAGAAUCCUGCACACUAGGCCAUUCGCUUUUUUUUUUCUUUUCAGGGCUGCACCCUAUGGAAGUUCCCAGGCUAGGGGUUGAAUUAGAGUUACAGCUGCCAGCCUACACCACAGCCACAGCAACGCCAGAUCCUUAAACCACUGAGUGAGGACAGGGAUCGAAUCCACAUCCUCAUGGAUCCUGGUGGCAUUCAUUACUGCUGAGUCAGGAUGGGAACUCCCUCACUUUUUUUUUUUUUUUUUUUGAUUGAUGUUACCUACUUAUCUAGUUACUUGGUAAUUUAUUGAGGAUGGAAAUCAUCCUUAAUACUGAAAAGCCCCAUGUUAUUAUGUUUAAUAUCUUGAAAGUAUUCAAUAACUAUUAUGUGAUUGAUAAUGAUAAUUAGAAAAAAUUGAGGAAUUCCCAUUGUGGCUCAGCAGGUUAAGAACCUGACAUAGUCUCCGUGAGGAUGCCGGUCAUCUCAGAGCCUUGCUUUGAUGCUUUUCCUCUGUUGCUUGUCUGGUUCCUCUCAUCCUAUGCUCAACUUGACCAAAACUGCACUGAUUGGCUUUCCCUCCAACAGUGCUCUGCCUCUUCUAUUUCCUAUUCCAGUUAGUAGCACAACCAGACAACCAGUCACCCAAACCGGAAACCUGUGAAUCAUUCUAGUCUUCUACUCCUUAGCCCCUACAUUUAAUUAAAUUUCCUUGAUUUCACUUUUUAAAUAUUUAGAUUUUGUUUCCUCUUCUCUGACUCUGCAACCACUGUCUUAGUUCAGGCUGCCUUCAUAUUUCACCUGAAAUUAUUACGAUUAUAUUCUUUUUUUUUUCUUUUUUUCUUUUUAGGGCCACACUUUGGCAUAUGGAAGUUCCCAUGCUAGGGGUCGAAUUGUUGCUGCAGUUGCCAGCCUAUACCACAGCCAUAGCGACACCAGAUCUGAGCUGUGGCUUGAGGCAAUGCUGGAUCCUUAACCCACUGAAUGAGGCCAGGGAUUUAACCCGAAUUCUCAUGGAUACUAGUCCGGUUCUUAACCCACUGAGCCACAAUGGGAACUCCUUAUGAUUGUAUUCUAACUGGUGUCCUUAUCUUCUAGCUUAUCUCCUCCAAUCUUUUCUAUACACUGUUGCUGGGGUGAUCCUAGUAAGCUGAAUAAUGCCCCCCCACCCCCAAAGAUAUCCAUGUUCUAGUUCCUGGAGCCUGUCAAUGUUACCUUAUAUGGCAACAAGGUAGAACUUUGCAGAUGUGAUUAAGUUAAGGGUCUUAAGAUGGGGAAAUUUUUUUAAUAUACAAUGGAGGUAAGUCUUGUUUUAUUAUUUAUUUAUUUAUUUUUUUGUCUUUUUAGGGCUGCACCUACAGCAUAUGGAAGUUCCCAGGCUAGGGGUUGAAUCAGAGCUCCAGCUGCUGGCCUACACCAUAGCUCAUGGCAACACCAGACGCUUAACCCACUGAGCGAGGCCAGGGAUUGAAUGUGCAUCCUCAUGUAUACUAUUCGGGUUUGUUACUGCUGAGCCACAAUAGGAACUCCGUAAGUUACUUUUUAAAAAUCCUCCAAUCUCUUUCCAUCACCUAUAGGUUAAAGUAAAAACUUCUAAGCAUGGCACAGGUUCUUAAUUUUUUGGCCUGUGUCUAUCUCUAUAACCUAAUUUCCUGUCACUCGGCCUCUCCACUUUUCUUCGGCCGUGACAAAUUUCCUAAACAUAGGUCAUUCUGUCUUUGACCCUUUGCACACUGAUCUGUCUGACUUCAACCUUUUAUUUAAGACCCAAUUCAAAGGCGUUUUUUUCUGUGAAGCCAUUCCUGAUCCACUCAGGAGAGCUGUGCUGCCAUUACCCCUAAUAUGAUACUAUUAUUGGUCUACAGUAUUGAAAUUGCUUGUUCAUAUUAACAUUUCUCUGCUUACAUUGUGAUUGCUUUGAGGAGAGAGACAAAGUACAAGAAUUUUUCUUUUAAUUUGUUGUUCUAGUUUUCCAAUCUUGUAAACAGCUGGGGUGAUUAACAAUGUAUCAAUUCAUUAAAAUGUUAUUGAAUCCAUA
This 5670-nucleotide long non-coding RNA is filed under the name Sus scrofa (pig). RNAcentral describes it as "lncRNA (ENSSSCG00025044219.1)". The record is from RNAcentral. Lineage: Eukaryota; Metazoa; Chordata; Mammalia; Artiodactyla; Suidae.